Molecule: unclassified non-coding RNA, 1553 nt
Filed under: Nilaparvata lugens (brown planthopper)
Lineage: Eukaryota; Metazoa; Arthropoda; Insecta; Hemiptera; Delphacidae
Description: gastrula zinc finger protein XlCGF49.1, transcript variant X3
Source: RNAcentral
UAGAGAAAAUUGAAAAUGGAGAAGGGAACCAACACAGACCGGCCGUUCACCGACCGUUGCGAAUUUUGCAACAAGACAUUCUCUAGACGCGAUCAUCUGCUAAACCACGUGAGGCAACAUACGGGCCAAUCACCGCACCGAUGUCAAUUCUGUUCAAAAACGUUCACCAGAAAAGAACACCUUGUCAACCAUGUGCGUCUACACACCGGCGACAGCCCAUUUCAAUGUCGUUUCUGCAACAAAUCGUUCACGCGAGACGAACACUUGACCAAUCAUGUCAAACGUCACACCAACGAAUCGCCUCGCUGCGAGUAUUGUCUGAAAGCGUUCACACGGAAAGAACACCUCAUCAACCAUGUAAGGCAACACACGGGCGAAACGCCUUUCAAAUGCGACUACUGUCCCAAAGCGUUUGCCAGGAAGGAUUACCUGACAAACCACACUCGCAUACAUACGGGUGACGUGUACAAGUGCAUGUUCUGUGUGAAAACUUUUACACGCAAGGAGCACCUGACCAAUCACAUUUGUCAUCACACCGGCGAGGCGCCACACAAGUGUCUCUACUGUCCAAAGAGUUUCACACGCAAAGAGCACCUGAAAAGUCACACCUACAUUCAUACGGGUGGCUCACCGCAUCAGUGUCACAUCUGCAUGAAACACUUCACGCGCAAAGGCCACCUCGUCAGUCAUAUACGAGUUCACACCGGAGAAUCACCGUUUCAAUGCGAGUUCUGUUUGAAGGUGUUUACGCGGAAGGAGCACCUGACGAAGCACAGCAAGCAGCACGUGAUGCAAACCAACCUGAACUGCAACGUGUGCUCGAAGCCAUUCACCGACAAGCAGCAGCUCAUCCUGCACAUGGACAGUCACUCCGGUGACAAGCCCUUUGUCUGCGACGUCUGCGGCAAGGCGUUUCCCAUGAAGGGCAACCUCCUGUUCCACCGUCGCUCGCAUGAGAAGGGGCGGGUGCCACGCGAACGUCCCUUCCGCUGCGACGUCUGCCCCAAGGACUUUGUGUGUCGCGGCCAUCUUGAAUCGCACAAGCAGGCGCAGCAUGCGCCGCAGCCACCGCAAGUGAAGACGCAGCCGCAAUCGCAUGCCGCCGCCUGCGUUGAGCCCAGCGGCCAGCAGAGGCACUUCAAGAAGCAUGCGGCGGUCGCAGCGCAGGACGGCACCAAUCAGACCACAGUCAACUUGUGCGACUUCCAGUCGCUGCCACUCGUUCUCAACUAUCCCACGCUGCCGUUUCUCUACGCCACCAAAUAGGACCUGGAAAUUGAGAUAGCUUGAUGAAGAGUUAUCCGUUCUUAAUCCUAAAGAGACACACUGGGGUAUGAAACACCAGUGGCUAAUCGUGCAACCACUGUUGCAUAGAAUAGCUUUGAUGCAGAUUCUCAAGAGAAGAAAGUAACUAGUUGUCAAUUGUCGACCAUGAGCGACAUCUAGAAUAAAUUCAAAAUCUGGUGUGGCGCACUCACACAACUUUCCUUGCCGUAAUGAAAAUUGAUCACCUGACGCUAGUGUUCACGCGCAUCUCAAGUCUACUUAUAAAC